This 348-nucleotide ribosomal RNA is filed under the name uncultured bacterium. RNAcentral describes it as "bacterial SSU rRNA". It matches the Rfam family "Bacterial small subunit ribosomal RNA", at positions 920 to 1269 of the family's 1533-position model. The record is from RNAcentral.
GACCCCGCACAAGCGGCGGAGCAUGCGGCUUAAUUCGAUGAUACCCGUAGAACCUUACCUGGACUUGACAUAUAGGGAAAAGCUAAAGAAAUUUAGUGUGCGUAAGCGCCCUAUACAGGUGGUGCAUGGCUGUCGUCAGCUCGUGUCGUGAGAUGUUGGGUUAAGUCCCGCAACGAGCGCAACCCCCUGUCCUAUGUUGCCAGCAUUUAGUUGGGGACUCAUAGGAGACUGCCGUGAUAAACCGGAGGAAGGUGGGACGACGUCAAGUCAUCAUGCCCCUUAUGUCCAGGGCUGCACGCAUGCUACAAUGGCAAGUACAACGAGUCGCAAUACCGCGAGGUGGGAGCA